This 301-nucleotide ribosomal RNA is filed under the name uncultured bacterium. RNAcentral's name for it is "partial 16S ribosomal RNA". It matches the Rfam family "Bacterial small subunit ribosomal RNA", at positions 509 to 807 of the family's 1533-position model. The record is from RNAcentral.
CAGUAGCCGCGGUAAUACGAAGGGGGCUAGCGUUGUCCGGAUUUACUGGGCGUAAAGCGCACGUAGGCGGACUUUUAAGUCAGGGGUGAAAUCCCGGGGCUCAACCCCGGAACUGCCUUUGAUACUGGGAGUCUUGAGUUCGAGAGAGGUGAGUGGAAUUGCGAGUGUAGAGGUGAAAUUCGUAGAUAUUCGCAGGAACACCAGUGGCGAAGGCGGCUCACUGGCUCGAUACUGACGCUGAGGUGCGAAAGCGUGGGGAGCAAACAGGAUUAGAUACCCCUGUAGUCCCUGUCUCUUAUAC